GAUGAACGCUGGCGGCGUGCCUAAUACAUGCAAGUCGAGCGAACGGACGAGAAGCUUGCUUCUCUGAUGUUAGCGGCGGACGGGUGAGUAACACGUGGAUAACCUACCUAUAAGACUGGGAUAACUUCGGGAAACCGGAGCUAAUACCGGAUAAUAUUUUGAACCGCAUGGUUCAAAAGUGAAAGACGGUCUUGCUGUCACUUAUAGAUGGAUCCGCGCUGCAUUAGCUAGUUGGUAAGGUAACGGCUUACCAAGGCAACGAUGCAUAGCCGACCUGAGAGGGUGAUCGGCCACACUGGAACUGAGACACGGUCAAGACUCCUACGGGAGGAAGCAGUAGGGAAUCUUCCGAAAUGGGCGAAAGCCUGACGGAGCAACGCCGCGUGAGUGAUGAAGGUCUUCGGAUCGUAAAACUCUGUUAUUAGGGAAGAACAUAUGUGUAAGUAACUGUGCACAUCUUGACGGUACCUAAUCAGAAAGCCACGGCUAACUACGUG
This 497-nucleotide ribosomal RNA is filed under the name uncultured bacterium. Its description in RNAcentral is "partial 16S ribosomal RNA". It matches the Rfam family "Bacterial small subunit ribosomal RNA", at positions 28 to 507 of the family's 1533-position model. The record is from RNAcentral.